GCAGUGUCAUGCUGCCUCCCGAUUGUUCUGCAAGGUGUGUUGUGACAUUUGUACUUCCUCCUGCCACGGCGGCGGGGAGGGAUGCUGGGGCUGGGGCUGCAGCAUGGCCCUGCAUGGGUUGGCUGGGCGCUGUGGCGCGGUGCUGCUGCUGGCCCUGCUGUGUGAUGUGGUGGGGCUGAUCCUGCUCCUCCUGGGGCUGUUUGCUCCUCUCAGCUACUGGGACUUCUUUGUUUACUUGGGAGCGCUGCUGCUUGCCUUCAGUCUGCUCUUCUGGACCUUCUGGUACACGUUCAACAUCGAGGUCCCCUAUAGGGAGCUGGGUUUUAAUUGACCUUCGGCGCUGAAAUGGGAACUUACGCUUGGAGGAGCAAUCUCACCAGCUGGGAAGCUGCAAAGCAUCAUUUCAUUGGUGAAGAGCAUCCACAAAGACUGCGGUUCUCCGAGCAUCACCUGCCUACAUGGACACCAGGGAAAGGGACUAAAGAGGAGCAGACUGUGAAUGUAGGGAGCAAGCAGAUGGAGAAGAACAGCACCAAACAAGGACUCCAUCCUGCCACUCCUCAACAAAAGGUCUUCCAUUGCAAACCUGCCACCAAAAAGACACAGAACGAGUUGCACUGUAUUGACCUGCUGAGCACAUCACUGUCAACAUGGGCACGAGUACUGCAGGCACCCUUUGAAUGGUGCCUUUGUUUCCUCUCUGAGCAUCCUUCUACCCACUGCCAUGAUCUCAGUGAGCCCAGCAGGAGCUUCCUGGCAGCAGCUGAACUGCUGCAAAGUGUCCUGGUGAGUGUUUGCAGGACCCAGGCAGCAGCACGGACCAAUUCUCCCAGCCCCACUGAGGGUGUGAAGUGGCCUGUGGCACCAGCGGGACAUGGAGCCUGGGGACCUCACCUGUACUUCGAUGCACUCAAUGGGAGAGUGACACAACAAAAUGGGGAGGGACUGGGGAUUUCCUAACAGAAGCCAGCUGGUGGCUGGAUGGAGGUCUUAGGUACAUUUUACCUGAUCUCAACAAGUUCUCAUGCACUUUCUAUUGGCACUUACUGAUGUACUCAGGAGGUUUAAGUUCAAAGAACUACUGAAGCUGAGGACAGAUAUGAAAAGAUGCAGUGUUUCAGCUGUCAGACCGGAGGCUCAGUGCAGAAACAAGCCUCCCUGCUAACUCCAAGUACAAAUCUCAGGUGAGAGGGGAUGAAGAGAUCUAUGUCUCCCUCCUCAUUCCCAACAGUAUUCAGUGUACCAUAAAGACAUCUGUGGGGUAGAACCACAUCUAACACCUACCAGAUAGGUUGUUCCACACUUUCCAUUGCAGGCAUCAGUUUCCCGUAAUUUAAAACUUUACCCAGCUUCAUUCCAGUUCCAUUUUGAUUUCCCAUCCCAGAGCUCCUGUCUCAGAGACACGGAACAAGGAAUCCUUGCACCAAGGGAUGGCAUCAGACCCAUUGAGCUGUGCCCUGGGGUUGCAAAGCUCUGCAAGGCCCAUGAGAGCCUGUUGUGCAUUGCACUGUUUUGGAGGAACUGUUUUGGUGUCACCUUUCUGGUUUUAUUUCAUUGUGUUGGUUCUUUAUCCUUUGUUAAAGUUGCUGCUUUCCCUUUCAAAGUCAUGUGUUUACUGAAGGUUGAUGGUGGGGUGAGGGGGGAUUUAUGGCUGUGCUAACUCUGUCCAUGUGUGGCUUUUACGUAUGGGAGAAUGGCUGAAUCCAGACAUCUGUCCCUGGCUGAUCAAACAAGAAGCCAGCUCAUAGCCAGGAAUGUGAUUCAAUUUGAACUUCACCCAUGGGCAGAGCCAGCCUUGCUUAAAGACUAGCAAAGUCCUGCAGCUGGCCCUGCCAGAACCACAGCAGUGCCUCCAUGUGCUCCCAGCACUGGCAGCACUCUAAGCAGGGCUUCAACUGGGGUUUAAGCCUCACCAACCCUACCUGCUACAGAUGCCCCGCAGUGGAUGGGCAGGGUGGAU
Molecule: long non-coding RNA, 1960 nt
Filed under: Coturnix japonica (Japanese quail)
Lineage: Eukaryota; Metazoa; Chordata; Aves; Galliformes; Phasianidae
Description: lncRNA (ENSCJPG00005020550.1)
Source: RNAcentral